GACGAACGCUGGCGGCGUGCCUAAUACAUGCAAGUCGAGCGAACCCGGGGUGCUUGCACCCUGAGGGUUAGCGGCGGACGGGUGAGUAACACGUGGGGAACCUGCCUUGCUGUCUGGGAUAACACCGGGAAACCGGUGCUAAUACCGGAUGUCCCCUUUCCGGCACCUGCCGGAGAGGGAAAAGGCGGCUUUGAGCCGCCGCAGCCAGCGGGGCCCGCGGCGCAUUAGUUAGUUGGCAGGGUAACGGCCUCCCAAGGCGACGAUGCGUAGCCGACCUGAGAGGGUGAUCGGCCACACUGGGACUGAGACACGGCCCAGACUCCUACGGGAGGCAGCAGUAGGGAAUCAUCCGCAAUGGACGAAAGUCUGACGGUGCAACGCCGCGUGAGUGAUGAAGGUUUUCGGAUCGUAAAGCUCUGUUGUGAGGGAAGAAUAGGAUGGGGAGGAAGUGCCCGAUCUGUGACGGUACCUCACCAGAAAGCCCCGGCUAACUACGUGCCAGCCGCCGCCGUAA
This 514-nucleotide ribosomal RNA is filed under the name uncultured bacterium. Its description in RNAcentral is "partial 16S ribosomal RNA". It matches the Rfam family "Bacterial small subunit ribosomal RNA", at positions 28 to 523 of the family's 1533-position model. The record is from RNAcentral.